CAGCCAUGGCCUCUGAAGCUGCAGUGGAUUGCGCACCGGGUGCAACUAGGGAUAACAAGAGAGAAUCUUUAAUCCGCGGAUACGAGCGCUGCUGACCAGCGCUGGAAACGAUUUGGCGGCAGAGCAAGCGAUGUCUCAGAAAGAGCUAAAGGAGGUGACCAGCCCCACUUGAUGCUAGUUGUGUUUCCGAAGACUCAGGCCUUGGCUCACGGCAGCCACUCUGACAUUAGUGAGCAGUUGACCUUCCCCAGCUCCAAUAUGCUGGACAUGAGAGUGAAGAAGCCAUUUGGACAUUAACUCACUCAAGUCUUCAGAUGACUCCAGCACCAACCACCAGACAAUUGCAACUGCAUGACAGAUCAUAAGAAGAACCUUCCUGCUGAGCCCAGACAAUCCCACAGAAGAAUGAGAGGUGAAGACAUAACAAGAAAGUGCUACGUAAGAAGCGGAGCAUCUUCAUUAGACACUGAAUCUGCUGGCAACUUGACCUUGGAUUUCCCAGCCUUCAGAACCGUGAGCAAUAAAU
Molecule: long non-coding RNA, 526 nt
Organism: Nycticebus coucang (slow loris)
Lineage: Eukaryota; Metazoa; Chordata; Mammalia; Primates; Lorisidae
Exons: 4
Source: RefSeq, a predicted model, not a curated record